AGUUAAUGAGCUUGAAUAAGCAUAUAUUUUGAAAAUAUAAGAUAAAAUCUUUUUUAUUAGCUU
Molecule: transfer RNA, 63 nt
Filed under: Ochthebius colveranus
Lineage: Eukaryota; Metazoa; Arthropoda; Insecta; Coleoptera; Hydraenidae
Description: tRNA-Ser
Source: RNAcentral